CACGUAGGGCGCGAGCGUUGUCCGGAAUUAUUGGGCGUAAAGAGCUCGUAGGCGGCCUGUUGCGUCCGCUGUGAAGGCCCGGGGCUUAACCCCGGGUCGGCAGUGGAUACGGGCAGGCUAGAGGUAGGUAGGGGAGAAUGGAAUUCCCGGUGUAGCGGUGAAAUGCGCAGAUAUCGGGAGGAACACCGGUGGCGAAGGCGGUUCUCUGGGCCUUACCUGACGCUGAGGAGCGAAAGCGUGGGGAGCGAACAGG
RNAcentral lists this ribosomal RNA (253 nucleotides) under uncultured bacterium. Its description in RNAcentral is "partial 16S ribosomal RNA". It matches the Rfam family "Bacterial small subunit ribosomal RNA", at positions 524 to 776 of the family's 1533-position model. The record is from RNAcentral.